This is a long non-coding RNA of Bos taurus (domestic cattle), 2827 nucleotides long. The record is from Ensembl. NCBI's taxonomy places the organism in Eukaryota, Metazoa, Chordata, Mammalia, Artiodactyla, Bovidae.
GGUAGACUCAGUCACAAACUUGUCUUACCAGAUAAAGUGUUGCAGAUUAAACUAUUUUACCCCCCUGGGAGCAGGUCUCUGUGGCCGUAGGAGUGUAUAGGAAAACCAUCAGCCGAUGUGUCAAGUGGAAGGGAAAACUGAAGUCGAAGGAUUCGUGGCUUUUCACAUACAAAGGCAUCCUCCCAUCCCUCCUGGCCAGCCAGCGAAGGAUGGACAAGUGCACCUGGAGGCUACUGCCCAGGUGCAAGGGGUGGGUGUGGGGCAAGCUGCAGAAUGCCCCAGAACAAAGACACCUCCAGGGGCCUCCUCGGAGGUCACCCGCUGCCUCCAGGGCAGAUUAAGGAGGACUGGAGAUGGCGCUUGGAGGAAAUGGUGCUGUUCUUUGGGAAAUCAAUUCGUCCCACCCUUAAUAGGGUGUUUUGCCCUCCCUCUUUGGGAGUUCCAGGCAAUGGGCUUCCAGGUCUCUACGGUUCUGAAAGAGGCGGCCCCUUUGCCAGCCCAUGUUCCUUCAAACAGCCCAGGCCCCACAAGAAUCUCUUCUGCUCUCUGCCACGUUUCCUUUCCCUUUUCUCCCUCUUUCAGGCUCUCCCGCCCCUCUCUAUACCCAAGCUCCUUUCAUAAUGAGGCUGGAAGUGGAACUUUCCCCCACUCCCUUACUUUGAGAUUUCUUUUUUCCCAGUGACCUGGGCUGCACUUUACCCCCACUCCCUGCCUGCCAAUCUCCUCAGGGUUAGGGCCUUUCUCUAUCCAUUCUUUCAGGUUCCCCCUCCUUGAGAGCUCCAGGAGGCCAGGCCUUCCAGAAUCUGAUCUCCUUCCAACACUGCAGCCCCCCUGAGGAGGAAGGAAGAAGCCUCCUCCGAAUGAAUGGCCGUAUUCUCAGGACUCCAAAAUGAGGCCUCCUUUUUCUAACUGCGGGCUGAAGUGGUUCAUUACUGCUGUUUCCUCCGCCAGGCCAGGACUCAGCCAUUCCCACUACUGAAGGAAGGAGAAGACCCCAGCCUAUCCCCGGGAGUUUGCUGACACCCAUGGGGUCCAUCAGAAAGCAGUUCAGGAUGCCUGGCAAAAGGAACAUGACGAGACAUCUCAAUAUAGAAAAGAAGCAAAGCCAUCUCAGAGAAGACAUCUCUAGAAGGCCUGUUAUACUGUAAGGGAGGCAUCCUGAUGUCUGGCUGAAGUCUCUCCUUCUGCAAAAUUGUCUUGGGCUUCCCAGGUGGCUCAGUGGUAAAGAAUCCACCUACUAAUGCAGGAGACGCUAGUUUGAUCCCUGGGUUGGGAAGAUCCCCUGGAGAAGGAAAUGACAAUCUACUCCAGUACUCUUGCUUGGGAAAUCCCAUGGACAGAGGAGCCUGGUGGGUUACGAAAGUCGGACAUGACUGAGCAGCUAAACAACAACAACAUUGCAUUGUUUUCCUUUGUUUCAAGAUUUAUAGCAUAUAAGCAGCUCUUAGAGUGGUAACUAUUGUUAUUAUUUUAUUAAUCAUUAUGUAGAUCAUUAUUUCAUUAAUUACUUCCCUAUUUGAACUCUGCCUUGUUCUCCCCCUCCCCAAAUAUACGGUGGCUAGUAAGGGAUCAUAAAAUACAGCAGAAUACACACAAAGAGCAAGAAAAGAUGGCCAAAACACAAGACGCACACUGCAGGACAGUGCAUACUUUGUGAACCAUUUCUAAAAUGUAUACAAAAUACAAAUCUCAUAUAAUUCUAUAAUUAAUUUAUUAAGAUAAAAAAUAAAAAACUGAACUAAACUUAAGAUAUAGGAUACUGCUAGAUUUGGGGGGAAGGAAAUAGUCCUAGAGUAGAAGGAUGGUGGGCUUUUCUACUUUCUGUGUAAUGUUUCAGUGACUUGAAGUAAAUAGAACAAAAUAUUAACAACUGUCAAUUUUGUGUGGCAGGUACUAGAUAUUGCACUACUUUAUGGACUUUAGAUUUGGAAGAAGAUCUCAGAGUUGUAUUUACUUGCUCAAGUGAGCCAUGAGUUGAUCUCUAAGCUCUCUAAAGGGCAAUAUAAGGAAAGGAGCCAGGUCAGUUCUACAAUUGAUGGUAUCGUGAGUAUCCCGAGGUGAAAAUAUAUCCAGGCUUUGGGAGAGCCCAGAACCUGGUACUGAGAACUCUAGAAGCUAUGCUUAUUCCACAGUGGCUAGUGGGUGGUGGUUUCAGCAGGGGUUUGGGAGUCUGAGAGCUUGUGUGUGUGUGUGUUUCUGGGUGUGUGAUUAGAAGAGGGAGCGAUUGGUCACACAUCUACAGACAUGUAGCUCUUCACCUGAAUUGUCUGUUCUAAAGACUCAGGUGAGAGUCACCUCAGCCCUGAAGAUGGGAGUGCUCAGGGACAAGCUCCUCGUGGUGGCCUUGCCACCAGCCAAUGACUCAGUAUUUUCAAACGGCAUCACAGCAAAGCCCAGUUCAUAAAGCUUUGAGGAGCCCCCACUACUAUUGGGCAGGCCCCAGCUCUCUGCCUAUCAGACCUGGGGUUUUCAAGCCCUUGGAAGACUAAAGGGGCCGUCCAUCCUUAAAGCAAAGAAAUGCAAGCUACUCCUGCCCUUGGCCAAAGCUGUGACCAACACAGGGAGGAGGUGAGGUAGAGAUGGUGCUGCCCACAGGAGCCUGGGAAGGUCACCAAUGUCUUCUUCCCCUUGUGAGGGACCAGUAGUCAGCUGGGUGCAGAGGAGCUGGGAACUCGCCUCUCUAGAGGGCCACCCCUCCUCCUCUGGAGGGGAGCCCAGGUGACUCACCGUUGUGCCAGGUUUUUCCUCAGAAAGCAUUCGAAAUUGGCUCCAGCACCCAAAUGCGCAGCGAUGCAGCACCUAGGGUCAACUCCAGGAGGUGUGCCCG